This 319-nucleotide ribosomal RNA is filed under the name Bathyspinula filatovae. RNAcentral's name for it is "partial 16S ribosomal RNA". The record is from RNAcentral. Lineage: Eukaryota; Metazoa; Mollusca; Bivalvia; Nuculanida sp.; Bathyspinulidae.
UCCGUUCAAAGGUAGUGUAAUUAAAGCCCUUUAAUUGUGGGCCAAUGAAUGGAUUGACGAAUUAAUAUUGUCUCAUUUGUGUGAAGUAGAAGUUAACUUUUAGGUGAAGAGGCCUAGAUAUUAUUAAGGGACGAGAAGACCCUGUCAAACUUUAAUUAGGGAGUUUGCUGUAAGUGAGCAGUUAAAUUUUGUAAAAUUUUAGUUGGGGCAACUGGGAAGGAUAUAAACUUUUUAUUAUCUGUAAUGGGGUGUUAUACUAAUGUACACGAUCCAAAUUUGUGUUUUGAAUAUAGAAUAAGUUACUGGAGGGAUAACAGCA